Solanum tuberosum (potato) is the source of this 2420-nucleotide RNA transcript. It is a transcript of the gene named histidine biosynthesis bifunctional protein hisIE, chloroplastic, with no coding region annotated. Lineage: Eukaryota; Viridiplantae; Streptophyta; Magnoliopsida; Solanales; Solanaceae. The record is from RefSeq and is a predicted model, not a curated record. The transcript has 6 exons.
CCAAAUUCAUUUCCUAAUUCCCACUACACUCUAGUGAUCCACUGCUCCGCCGUCGUUAUCGCCGCCAUAGGUUUCGUCUUGUAUAAUCGAAUCCUAAGAUGUCAAUUUCUUAUUCUCCUUGCUUUCAACCUCUUAAAGUGUUCCCUAGAAGUAAUCGUAUUCGUUCAAGCGGAGCUUUUACCUUGAAUCGACGUAAUGUAGUGGCAUGUAUGAAGAAAUCACAUGAAGAUACCUCUCUUGAAGCAAAGGUUGAUUUCUUACUAGAUCAUGUCAAAUGGGACGACAAAGGCCUUGCGGUUGCUAUAGCCCAAAAUGUUGAUACAGGAGCAGUCUUAAUGCAAAUGGUGUCCGGGCUAGCUUUUGGGCACCUCGACUAGUUCCACGUGAUACAUGUCAAUUAUGUUUAGCUUGUCUAGGAAUGAGUUUGUGGUUUAUUAAUACAUCAGAUAUAAUCAGGUGCAUUUUGUGUCAAUUAUGGUAUAUAUAUUGAUAACCGUGGUGUCCUGGCCAGCUUUCGCGCGCCUCGAGCCCUCAACUAGUUCCACGGAUACCUGACAAUUAUGUUUAGCUUGUUUGUGAAUGAAUUUGUAGUUUAUAAAUACAUCAGAUAUGUGUCCAUUAUGGUGGAUAUUUGUUUAAGGCUAGGGUAGUAAAAAUGAUAGUUGAGUUCCUUGUAUUUCAUUUUGAUCUCUCUUUAAGUCUUCAUAGAGGCCUAAUAAUUUGUUCAUUUUUGAGUUGCGUUUGGAUGCUAGUUGCCACAUCAUCACUAUCGGAUUACACAUUACCUAAGGAAUCUAAACCAAUAAUCAAAAUCAAAUUUUGACUUAUAUAUCUAGUCCAAUUGCUCAAUUUAGACUAUGAAAAUUCAAGAUUUCAUGGUUCAAGUUACUCCUAAUUUAUUUAUAAUAACGAGACGUGAUUUAGCUAGAACAUUAGACAGCACAUUCUUGUUUAGAGACUGUGACACGCUAUUAGAUAUCAACUAAGUUAGGUGUCUAUGAUGUGCACUGUGCCAGUAUUUUACACGUCUGGAAAAAAAAAGCUAGCGAAGUAGAAAAAGAUCGCAGGCUUUUCAUCUGUCAUUUUGAUCUCUCUUGAAGUGAGUUGUUUUUCUUUGUUGCACUUUGCAACUGAUGGUUUAUUGCUGCACUUCUGGGGACGUGCAGUGCCUUGCUCUUUGGACUUUACAACAACACCUUCCCUGCAAAGGCUAGUUGAAAUGUGUUCUAUUUACUGACCUGGAAGGAUGAACAUAUUGUAUCACCUUUCCUUUGUCUCUUGUUUUCUCUUUUCUGAUAACAGUACUUCAGGUUGAUUUCUUACUAGAUCAUGUCAAAUGGGACGACAAAGGCCUUGCGGUUGCUAUAGCCCAAAAUGUUGAUACAGGAGCAGUCUUAAUGCAAGGGUUUGCAAACAGAGAGGCUUUGUCAACAACAAUCUCAUCACGUAAAGCAACAUUUUAUAGCCGGUCACGGUCAUCUUUAUGGACAAAGGGAGAGACAUCCAAUAAUUUUAUCAAUGUUUUUGAUGUCUUUCUUGAUUGUGAUCGUGAUUCUAUAAUAUAUCUUGGGAAGCCUGAUGGUCCAACAUGCCACACGGGGUCAGAGACAUGUUAUUACACGCCAGUUGAUGAGCUUCUGAAAAAUCCUGAGCUCGGCUUUUCUUUUGGAAAAUGGUCUAUAUGAACCUGCCUAAGAUGUAGUAGCUGUGCUAGGUUGAGAAAAACGAGCUGGCUUUGACGACUUUAUACGCAUUAGAAUCUACAAUCAACCAAAGGAAGGCAGAAACAUCUAGCUCUUCAAAUGGAAAACCCUCGUGGACGAAGCGAUUGUUACUUGAUGACAAAUUGCUUUGCUCCAAAAUUCGAGAGGAGGCUGACGAGUUAUGCCGAACUCUGGAGCAAAACGAGGCUAAUGGUCGGACUGCCUCUGAGAUGGCAGAUGUCUUGUAUCAUGCCAUGGUUUUGCUUUCUCUUAGAGGAGUAAAACUGGAGGAAGUUAUGCAGGUCCUUAGACAAAGGUUUUCAAAGUCAGGCAUUGAAGAAAAGAAUAGUCGAAAAUCCUAGGACAUAUGGGUUUUACCGUUGAAGAAGGUCUCAUUACAGUCGACGAUUGUCAAGAGAGAGAGGGAGAGAGAGAGAGAGAGAGAGGCAUACUCCAGCUCUCUAAUGUUGUUGUUAAAAGUGGGGAGAUCUUUGAAGUCUCCUUUGUCAAUACAAACCUUAUUGAUGUACUUUUGCUAAACUAUGGGAACAUAUAUGAACAACAUUCUAGUUGUAGUACAGACAAGAAUUGAGGUCACGCAUUGUUAAAUUCUCUCUUUAGUGUGUGUUAAUCUCUCAUGAUGAUAAAAGAUUUGGAAUUUCCAAUUAUAAACAAGAUGUGUGGAUUAAAUCCUUUUAACAAAUAAAGUUUUUGAUC